AGUCGAGCGAGGUUACUGUUUUGGAUCCCUUCGGGGUGAGGAAGCUUUAACCUAGCGGCGGACGGGUGAGUAACGCGUGGGUAACCUACCCCAAAGUCCGGGAUAACAGCGGGAAACCGCUGCUAAUACCGGAUGCCUUUACCUUGGGGCAUCUUGAGGUAAAGAAAGGUAACGCUUUGGGAUGGGCCCGCGUCCCAUUAGCUAGUUGGUGAGGUAACGGCUCACCAAGGCGACGAUGGGUAGCCGGCCUGAGAGGGUGGACGGCCACACUGGGACUGAGACACGGCCCAGACUCCUACGGGAGGCAGCAGUAGGGAAUAUUGCGCAAUGGACGGAAGUCUGACGCAGCGACGCCGCGUGAGCGAUGAAGGUCUUCGGAUCGUAAAGCUCUGUCCUUGGGGAAGAAGGCGAAAGCUUGACGGUACCCAAGAAGAAAGCCCCGGCUAACUACGUGCCAGCAGCCGCGGUAAUACGUAGGGGGCGAGCGUUGUCCGGAAUUACUGGGCGUAAAGGGUGCGUAGGCGGCCCUUUAAGUCGGAUGUGAAAGCCCGCGGCUUAACCGCGGAAUGGCAUUCGAAACUGGAGGGCUUGAGUGUCGGAGAGGGUAGUGGAAUUCCCAGUGUAGCGGUGAAAUGCGUAGAUAUUGGGAGGA
Molecule: ribosomal RNA, 652 nt
Filed under: uncultured bacterium
Lineage: Bacteria
Description: bacterial SSU rRNA
Rfam family: Bacterial small subunit ribosomal RNA
Source: RNAcentral